Molecule: long non-coding RNA, 696 nt
Organism: Diabrotica virgifera virgifera (western corn rootworm)
Lineage: Eukaryota; Metazoa; Arthropoda; Insecta; Coleoptera; Chrysomelidae
Exons: 3
Source: RefSeq, a predicted model, not a curated record
CAUAAACAUUAUCUUACUUACUCUAAAGUAAUUAGGGAAUUAAAACUUGAGACUGUCAUUUUCAGGUUGGGCGUAGAUUUACGCUCCUGCUAUGUCUAGGACUCGAAUGUUGUUUUUUGAUUGGAAUGUGUCUAAAGAUAUUCAACUUCUCAUCUUUACCGAUGAGCCCAGAGAGGUUGAAGAGGGCGAAACACAUUUCUAAGAACUGGUGUUUGGAUCUUUGAUUCUAUUCAAAAAAAUUUUCCCAGCCCGAAAUGGUGGAUGUGUGAAUUGUUCGUAAGGGGAUUUUUCCACAUUCUCUAUUUUAUUUGUUUGAUUUCGUACGAGUGGUCGUUAAACCAGUACCUGUGGAUCUUUUGAUCACUGAGUGUGUUUCAAAGAUCUACAUCUUUUGUUUUUUCAUAAACAUUAUCUUACUUACUCUAAAGUAAUUAGGGAAUUAAAACUUGAGACUGUCAUUUUCAGGUUGGGCGUAGAUUUACGCUCCUGCUAUGUCUAGGACUCGAAUGUUGUUUUUUGAUUGGAAUGUGUCUAAAGAUAUUCAACUUCUCAUCUUUACCGAUGAGCCCAGAGAGGUUGAAGAGGGCGAAACACAUUUCUAAGAACUGGUGUUUGGAUCUUUGAUUCUAUUCAAAAAAUUUUUCCCAGCCCGAAAUGGUGGAUGUGUGAAUUGUUCGUAAGGGGAUUUUUCCACAU